GCGACGCACUGGGGGAGCUGGUAACGGCUGAGAGGAAUCGAAUGAUUCUGACCCUUUGAACUCGAUCUGGAUAAUACCAGCGUGGGGAAGUGCAGCCAGAAUUGU
RNAcentral lists this non-coding RNA (105 nucleotides) under Terribacillus aidingensis. Its description in RNAcentral is "TPP sequence". It matches the Rfam family "TPP riboswitch aptamer (THI element)". From Rfam's summary of the family: Vitamin B(1) in its active form thiamin pyrophosphate (TPP) is an essential coenzyme that is synthesised by coupling of pyrimidine and thiazole moieties in bacteria. The previously detected thiamin-regulatory element, thi box was extended, resulting in a new, highly conserved RNA secondary structure, the THI element, which is widely distributed in eubacteria and also occurs in some archaea. Analysis of operon structures identified a large number of new candidate thiamin-regulated genes, mostly transporters, in various prokaryotic organisms. Lineage: Bacteria; Bacillati; Bacillota; Bacilli; Caryophanales; Bacillaceae. The record is from Rfam by way of RNAcentral.